This 271-nucleotide ribosomal RNA is filed under the name uncultured bacterium. RNAcentral describes it as "partial 16S ribosomal RNA". It matches the Rfam family "Bacterial small subunit ribosomal RNA", at positions 794 to 1060 of the family's 1533-position model. The record is from RNAcentral.
UCCACACCGUACACGAUGAAUGCCAAACGUCGGGCACAAUGCUGUUCGGUGUCACACCUACCGGAUUAUUCAUCAUUCCUGCUGAGGAGUACGGCCGCAAUGUUAAAACUCAAAGGAAUUGACGGGGGCCCGCACAAGCGGUGGAGCGUGUGGUUUAAUUCGAAGCAACGCGCAGAACCUUACCAAGCCUUGACAUGGGUAUCGCGGCCUCAGAGAUGAGGCUUUCAGUUCGGCUGGAUACCACACAGGUGCUGCAUGGCUGUCGUCAGCU